Molecule: regulatory RNA element, 103 nt
Organism: Clostridium cellulovorans 743B
Lineage: Bacteria; Bacillati; Bacillota; Clostridia; Eubacteriales; Clostridiaceae
Rfam family: PyrR binding site
About the family: This family represents the PyrR binding site and terminator structure.
Source: Rfam
GUUACCUUUAACUCAAGUCCAGAGAGGCUGAGAAGGUGUUUGGAAAUAGUUUAACAAUAGGGAAUUUCUAUGCCUUCAACUUUAUGGUGAAGGCAUUUUUUUU